GGUUGUGUCAUGGCUCAGGACGAACGCUGUCGGCGUGCCUAAUACAUGCAAGUCGAGCGGACAGAAGGGAGCUUGCUCCCGGAUGUUAGCGGCGGACGGGUGAGUAACACGUGGGUAACCUGCCUGUAAGACUGGGAUAACUCCGGGAAACCGGAGCUAAUACCGGAUAGUUCCUUGAACCGCAUGGUUCAAGGAUGAAAGACGGUUUCGGCUGUCACUUACAGAUGGACCCGCGGCGCAUUAGCUAGUUGGUGGGGUAAUGGCUCACCAAGGCGACGAUGCGUAGCCGACCUGAGAGGGUGAUCGGCCACACUGGGACUGAGACACGGCCCAGACUCCUACGGGAGGCAGCAGUAGGGAAUCUUCCGCAAUGGACGAAAGUCUGACGGAGCAACGCCGCUUGAGUGAUGAAGGUUUUCGGAUCGUAAAGCUCUGUUGUUAGGGAAGAACAAGUGCGAGAGUAACUGCUCGCACCUUGACGGUACCUAACCAGAAAGCCACGGCUAACUACGUGCCAGCAGCCGCGGUAAUACGUAGGUGGCAAGCGUUGUCCGGAAUUAUUGGGCGUAAAGGGCUCGCAGGCGGUUUCUUAAGUCUGAUGUGAAAGCCCCCGGCUCAACCGGGGAGGGUCAUUGGAAACUGGGAAACUUGAGUGCAGAAGAGGAGAGUGGAAUUCCACGUGUAGCGGUGAAAUGCGUAGAGAUGUGGAGGAACACCAGUGGCGAAGGCGACUCUCUGGUCUGUAACUGACGCUGAGGAGCGAAAGCGUGGGGAGCGAACAGGAUUAGAUACCCUGGUAGUCCACGCCGUAAACGAUGAGUGCUAAGUGUUAGGGGGUUUCCGCCCCUUAGUGCUGCAGCUAACGCAUUAAGCACUCCGCCUGGGGAGUACGGUCGCAAGACUGAAACUCAAAGGAAUUGACGGGGGCCCGCACAAGCGGUGGAGCAUGUGGUUUAAUUCGAAGCAACGCGAAGAACCUUACCAGGUCUUGACAUCCUCUGACAACCCUAGAGAUAGGGCUUUCCCUUCGGGGACAGAGUGACAGGUGGUGCAUGGUUGUCGUCAGCUCGUGUCGUGAGAUGUUGGGUUAAGUCCCGCAACGAGCGCAACCCUUGAUCUUAGUUGCCAGCAUUCAGUUGGGCACUCUAAGGUGACUGCCGGUGACAAACCGGAGGAAGGUGGGGAUGACGUCAAAUCAUCAUGCCCCUUAUGACCUGGGCUACACACGUGCUACAAUGGACAGAACAAAGGGCUGCAAGACCGCAAGGUUUAGCCAAUCCCAUAAAUCUGUUCUCAGUUCGGAUCGCAGUCUGCAACUCGACUGCGUGAAGCUGGAAUCGCUAGUAAUCGCGGAUCAGCAUGCCGCGGUUGAAUACGUUCCCGGGGCCUUGUACACACCGCCCGUCACACCACGAGAGUUUGCAACACCCGAAGUCGGUGAGGUAACCUUUAUGGAGCCAGCCGCCGAAGGUGGGGCAGAUGAUUGGGGGUGAAGUCGUAACAAGGUAGCCGUAUCGGAAGGGC
RNAcentral lists this ribosomal RNA (1524 nucleotides) under Bacillus stratosphericus. RNAcentral's name for it is "bacterial SSU rRNA". It matches the Rfam family "Bacterial small subunit ribosomal RNA". Lineage: Bacteria; Bacillati; Bacillota; Bacilli; Caryophanales; Bacillaceae. The record is from RNAcentral.